This 468-nucleotide ribosomal RNA is filed under the name uncultured bacterium. RNAcentral describes it as "partial 16S ribosomal RNA". It matches the Rfam family "Bacterial small subunit ribosomal RNA", at positions 28 to 507 of the family's 1533-position model. The record is from RNAcentral.
GACGAACGCUGGCGGCGUGCUUAACACAUGCAAGUCGAACGGAAAGGCCCUGCUUUUGUGGGGUGCUCGAGUGGCGAACGGGUGAGUAACACGUGAGUAACCUGCCCUUCACUUUGGGAUAACUUCAGGAAACUGGGGCUAAUACCGGAUAGGAGCUCCUGCUGCAUGGUGGGGGUUGGAAAGUUUCGGCGGUUGGGUAUGGACUCGCGGCUCAUCAGCUUGUUGGUGGGGUAGUGGCUUACCAAGGCUUUGCCGGGUAGCCGGGCUGAGAGGGUGGGCGGCCAAGUUGGAACUGGAAUGCGACCCAGCCUCCUACGGGAGGCAGCGGAGGGGAAGAGUGCACAAUGGGCGGAAGCCAAAUGCGACAACGCCGCGUGGGGGAUGACGGCCUGCGGGUUGUAAACCGCUUUCGCCUGUGACGAAGCGUGAGUGACGGUAAUGGGUAAAGAAGCACCGGCUAACUACGUG